RNAcentral lists this ribosomal RNA (433 nucleotides) under uncultured bacterium. Its description in RNAcentral is "partial 16S ribosomal RNA". It matches the Rfam family "Bacterial small subunit ribosomal RNA", at positions 31 to 507 of the family's 1533-position model. The record is from RNAcentral.
AAGGAAAGAGGGCGGAAUGCCUAACACAUGCAAGUCGAACGAAGCCUUCUGUCUGAGUGGCGCACGGGUGCGUAACGUGAUGGAAUCUGCCCCUGUGUUCGGAAUAACAUGUAUAAAUGACUGCCUAUACCGGAUGAAGUCUUCGGACCAAAGAUGUGUCGUCAAGGGAUGAGCCCGCGUAGGAUUAUGUGGUUGUUUGGGUAAAGGUGUACUUAGCCGACGAUCCUUAGCUGUUCUGAGAGGAUGAUCAGCCACACUGGGACUGACACACGGCCCAGACACCUACGGGAGGCAGCAGUGGGGAAUAUUGGACAAUGGACGCAGAUCUGAUCCAGCAAUGCCGCGUGAGUGAUGAAGGCCUUAGGGUUAAAAAACUCUUUUACCAGGGAUGAUAAUGACAGUACCUGGAGAAUAAGCUCCGGCUAACUCCGUG